This 427-nucleotide ribosomal RNA is filed under the name uncultured bacterium. Its description in RNAcentral is "bacterial SSU rRNA". It matches the Rfam family "Bacterial small subunit ribosomal RNA", at positions 355 to 775 of the family's 1533-position model. The record is from RNAcentral.
UGGGGAAUCUUGCGCAAUGGGCGAAAGCCUGACGCAGCAACGCCGCGUGAGCGAAGAAGGCCUUCGGGUUGUAAAGCUCUGUCAGGGGGAAAGAAGGCACCUGGGUUGAUAGCCCAAGGGCUGACGGUACCUCCAAAGGAAGCCACGGCUAACUACGUGCCAGCAACCGCGGUAAUACGUAGGUGGCAAGCGUUGUCCGGAAUCAUUGGGCGUAAAGAGCGCGUAGGUGGCUUGUCAGGUCUGAUGUGAAAACCUGGGGCUCAACUCCAGGCCUGCAUCAGAAACCGGCUUGCUAGAGUCUGGGAGAGGAGAGUGGAAUUCCUGGUGUAGCGGUGAAAUGCGUAGAUAUCAGGAGGAACACCGGUAGCGAAGGCGGCUCUCUGGAACAGUACUGACGCUGAGGCGCGAAAGCUAGGGGAGCGAACAG